GGGAUUGCCCUAGUAACGGCGAGUGAAGCGGCAACAGCUCAAAUUUGAAAUCUGGCGCACGCCCGUAGUUGUAAUUUGUAGAGGAUGCUUCUGGGUAGCGACCGGUCUAAGUUCCUUGGAACAGGACGUCAGAGAGGGUGAGAAUCCCGUAUGUGACCGGCCCGCACCCUGGACGUAGCUCCUUCGACGAGUCGAGUUGUUUGGGAAUGCAGCUCUAAAUGGGAGGUAAAUUUCUUCUAAAGCUAAAUACCGGCCAGAGACCGAUAGCGCACAAGUAGAGUGAUCGAAAGAUGAAAAGUACUUUGGAAAGAGAGUUAAAAAGCACGUGAAAUUGUUGAAAGGGAAGCGCCUGCAAUCAGACUUCGCGGCAGUGUUCCGCCGGCCUUUUGGCCGGUUCAUUCUCUGUCGCGAGGCCAUCAUCGUCUCGGCCCGCUGGAUAAGACCUUGGGAAUGUAGCUCACCUUCGGGGGAGUGUUAUAGCUCACGGUGAUGCAGCGAGGCUGGGGCGAGGUCCGCGCUUCGGCAAGGAUGAUGGCGUAAUGGUUGUCGGCGGCCCGUCUUGAAACACGGACCAAGGAGUCUAACAUCUAUGCGAGUGUUCGGGUGUCAAACCCCUACGCGUAAUGAAAGUGAACGGAGGUGGGAACCGCAAGGUGCACCAUCGACCGAUCCUGAUGUCCUCGGAUGGAUUUGAGUAAGAGCAUAGCUGUUGGGACCCGAAAGAUGGUGAACUAUGCCUGAAUAGGGUGAAGCCAGAGGAAACUCUGGUGGAGGCUCGCAGCGGUUCUGACGUGCAAAUCGAUCGUCAAAUUUGGGUAUAGGGGCG
Molecule: ribosomal RNA, 826 nt
Filed under: Sphaerulina viciae
Lineage: Eukaryota; Fungi; Ascomycota; Dothideomycetes; Mycosphaerellales; Mycosphaerellaceae
Description: eukaryotic LSU rRNA
Rfam family: Eukaryotic large subunit ribosomal RNA
Source: RNAcentral